UACAGAGGGUGCAAGCGUUAAUCGGAAUUACUGGGCGUAAAGGGUGCGUAGGUGGUCUAAUAAGUUAGGUGUGAAAGUCCUGGGCUUAACCUGGGGAUUGCGCUUAAGACUGUGAGACUAGAGUACUGUAGAGGAAGGUGGAAUUUCCGGUGUAGCGGUGAAAUGCGUAGAUAUCGGAAGGAACAUCAGUGGCGAAGGCGACUUUCUGGACAGAUACUGACACUGAGGCACGAAAGCGUGGGGAGCAAACAGG
Molecule: ribosomal RNA, 253 nt
Filed under: uncultured bacterium
Lineage: Bacteria
Description: partial 16S ribosomal RNA
Rfam family: Bacterial small subunit ribosomal RNA
Source: RNAcentral